AGUGAACGCUGGCGGCAGGCCUAACACAUGCAAGUCGAACGGCAGCACAGUAAGAGCUUGCUCUUACGGGUGGCGAGUGGCGGACGGGUGAGGAAUACAUCGGAAUCUACUUUUUCGUGGGGGAUAACGUAGGGAAACUUACGCUAAUACCGCAUAUGAUCUACGGGUGAAAGCAGGGGAUCUUCGGACCUUGCGCGAUUGAAUUAGCCGAUGUCGGAUUAGCUAGUUGGCGGGGUAAAGGCCCACCAAGGCGACGAUCCGUAGCUGGUCUGAGAGGAUGAUCAGCCACACUGGAACUGAGACACGGUCCAGACUCCUACGGGAGGCAGCAGUGGGGAAUAUUGGACAAUGGGCGCAAGCCUGAUCCAGCCAUACCGCGUGGGUGAAGAAGGCCUUCGGGUUGUAAAGCCCUUUUGUUGGGAAAGAAAAGCAGCAGGUUAAUACCCCGCUGUUCUGACGGUACCCAAAGAAUAAGCACCGGCUAACUUCGUG
RNAcentral lists this ribosomal RNA (492 nucleotides) under uncultured bacterium. RNAcentral's name for it is "partial 16S ribosomal RNA". It matches the Rfam family "Bacterial small subunit ribosomal RNA", at positions 29 to 507 of the family's 1533-position model. The record is from RNAcentral.